Molecule: ribosomal RNA, 402 nt
Filed under: Verrucomicrobiota bacterium
Lineage: Bacteria; Pseudomonadati; Verrucomicrobiota
Description: Verrucomicrobia bacterium partial 16S ribosomal RNA
Rfam family: Bacterial small subunit ribosomal RNA
Source: RNAcentral
UGGGGAAUUUUGCACAAUGGGGGAAACCCUGAUGCAGCGACGCCGCGUGAUUUAGAAGGCCUUCGGGUUGUAAAAAUCUUUUUUAUGGGAGGAAAAUGACAGUACCAUAAGAAUAAGGUCCGGCUAAAUACGUGCCAGCAGCCGCGGUAAUACGUAUGGACCGAGCGUUGUCCGGAAUCAUUGGGCGUAAAGGGUACGUAGGCGGCCCAGUAAGUUAGAAGUGAAAUAAUAUAGCUCAACUAUAUAAAGCUUUUAAAACUGCUAGGCUUGAGAGAUGGAAGGGAAAGUGGAAUUCCUAGUGUAGCGGUGAAAUGCGCAGAUAUUAGGAAGAAUACCGGUGGCGAAGGCGACUUUCUGGUCAUCAUCUGACGCUGAGGUACGAAAGCGUGGGUAGCAAACAGG